GAUGAACGCUGGCGGCGUGCCUAAUACAUGCAAGUCGAGCGAAUGGAUUAAGAGCUUGCUCUUAUGAAGUUAGCGGCGGACGGGUGAGUAACACGUGGGUAACCUGCCCAUAAGACUGGGAUAACUCCGGGAAACCGGGGCUAAUACCGGAUAACAUUUUGAACCGCAUGGUUCGAAAUUGAAAGGCGGCUUCGGCUGUCACUUAUGGAUGGACCCGCGUCGCAUUAGCUAGUUGGUGAGGUAACGGCUCACCAAGGGAACGAUGCGUAGCCGACCUGAGAGGGUGAUCGGCCACACUGGGACUGAGACCCGGCCCAGACUCCUACGGGAGGAAGCAGUAGGGAAUCUUCCGCAAUGGACGAAAGUCUGACGGAGCAACGCCGCGUGAGUGAUGAAGGCUUUCGGGUCGUAAAACUCUGUUGUUAGGGAAGAACAAGUGCUAGUUGAAUAAGCUGGCACCUUGACGGUACCUAACCAGAAAGCCACGGCUAACUACGUGCCAGCCGCCGCCGUAA
Molecule: ribosomal RNA, 515 nt
Filed under: uncultured bacterium
Lineage: Bacteria
Description: partial 16S ribosomal RNA
Rfam family: Bacterial small subunit ribosomal RNA
Source: RNAcentral